AUAACAAAUUUUGGUAUACAUAAAAAGAAUAAAGAAUAACGUACUUGAUAGCUGGAUUUUCUUACCAUGAAAUUAAAAUACCAAGUAUUUAAAAUUUCACAUUCUCUUGUGCUCAAAGUUGCAGUGAUGUUAUCGAUACAAAUAAUGGAGAAGAACUGUGGAAAGUAAAACGAAAGAUGAUGGGAUUUCUUGGCUAGAAGCAGAGGAGACAGUACAAGAAAGAAUGUUAUGGAUACAAUUGGUGUAGGCGUUAAGUUGUGUUCUCCUCUUUGGUCGGGUUUUUUGUAGAUGACAUACUCUGCGUUUCCAUUCUCAAUUUUUCUCAAGCUUCCCGUUAGAAGCGAAAAAGAUUAUGGUUGCCAACAUUUAUGUUGUAUAGUAUAACGGACACCAGUAUGUAUAAUAGUUCUAGUCAGAGGAAACAAAUAUGUGGAGCGUGAUUACCCUAAAAGGAAAUUGUCUUUUGAUGAAUAAAAUAGUGAAUACCAGUACCAAUGAAUCUACCAAGUUGGACAUUAUUAACACAACACCUGAUAAAUUUUGUGAUGGAAACACCAUUCUAAGCUGUAACACAUCAAAAUAAACCUGUUCAUAAAGUUUUUUAAACAAAUGUGGAUGCAGUUUAACAUCUUUAAUAUUUUAGCACAGAACACAUAGGAAUUUUUAUUGAUGUUUCAAUAUUUAUAUACAAUAUACAAGUCACUCGAAAUAUCUAAAAGGAUCACACUUUCUAAAAAAAACUGUUUUAUUACUCUUGUUUGUGUAUUGAAACAGUUGAAACAGUUUGAAAUUUAACUUAUAAAAUAUGCAGAUUUGUUUAACAUUAUAAAUUUAACAGACAUGGGAGACUCAUUAACAAUUCAUUAUGUAUUUGGUUUGCUAUUAUUUUUUCAUUCCCAAAGACAUCUAAGUUAUUGAUGACAGAACACACACUUCUUGCUAGAUGGGUUAUUCUAGCUUGAUUUUUCCUAUGGUGCUUGUGUUAAUAUUCAACGUUUGUAUUAACCUUUUAAUUAUGAAGAGGUUAGGCAAAAAUCAAAGAAUUGGCCGAUAUUGUGUUUUGCAAGAAAAACACCAUAAAGAAGGCAUCAGAUACUUAAUAGAAAAAAGAAAACAAUGUGUCCAUUUAUGCCCUGCUGAUUUUAUGUAUUGUGGUUUAAAAAAAAUAGACAAUAAGUUGAAUGAAAAUUAAUGAACUUCAAUGUUCUGUUUAAGCCAUGGUGACCGUAUAUGUUUGUUGGUUGUUUUGUUGGUUAAGAAAAAAACUUAAUACCAGAUCACACAAGGAUCAUUCAAUUAAAAUUCUGUAAAAUCAACCAGUUCAUGGAAGUUUCUUCAACGGCAAACUGAUUAAAAGAAAACAAAUUUAUAAUUAAGAUUGAUUAAUAUUCAAAUAAUGCACAUAGAAAUGCCUGUAGAUUUCAGAAUCAGCAUUCAAUUUAAUAGUUUUCUAUAUUAUCUGUAAAAGUUUUAUUUUCGCUCUAAUCUUUUAAUUAAUUCUUGAAUGGUAGUUUCAUUAAAUUUUGAAUGUAAAUGUGCCACUUUGAAAUAUUACCUGAGCAAAGGAUUCAUUUCAUUGAGCCCAGUUAGUGGGGCUAUACCAUUAAUUUUGCGAAUAAGUAAGUAUUGUAAGUAAAAUUAAAAUUUUGAUCCAGAAACGAUAUACAUUGUUGGGAUUGCUCAGUUGGACAGAGUUGGUAAUAUUCCCUUCGGCUGUUUCGAGAACCUUUUGCAAUUUCAAGUAUUUUACGCUGGGAAAGUCUUUUAAUUUGAAAGUAUCUGUAUUUAACACCUAUAUAACGUUAUAUGUAUUUGAACAAGAACAAACUUAAUACUUUCCUUGUGAAUUUCAAAAUAAUAUGAAAUAGUUUCGUUAUGUUGAAAGGUUUAUAUAUUACCUUUCAUAACUAAUUAUAUAUUAUUUAUAAUUCUGAAACACUGAUUCAACAUUGUUUCUGUUCGUUUUUUUUUUUCAGUAAAUCACUAUGUUGUUAAGGAAAAUUGGUAACAUCAUCUGCUUUGUCUGACCAGACGGAAUCAGUUUACUUUAUUUAGAAUGCAUUAUGCUUUAAAUAAAAUCAUUCUUGCAUUAUUAUUGUUGAAGAAUAAAAAAGAGAGACGAAUGAUAAAAAAGGGAUAGUGAAAAUUGUCCACCGAAAAUAGACUGACAAUGCCAUGGCAAAACAAAAACGACAAACCAUCAAGUAACAAACAGCAGAUUCUAAUAUGACGUCCUUAUUACGUUUUGUAAACAAAGCCGUGUUCUAAUUAGCACAAAAUAUGUUUGACACAUGCGCACAAACUUACUGUUAACAUUCUUGUUAUUUUCUUUUUUAUCAUAAUAAAAUAUAUACAUUUUA
Molecule: long non-coding RNA, 2360 nt
Organism: Mytilus californianus (California mussel)
Lineage: Eukaryota; Metazoa; Mollusca; Bivalvia; Mytilida; Mytilidae
Exons: 4
Source: RefSeq, a predicted model, not a curated record